RNAcentral lists this transfer RNA (73 nucleotides) under Felis catus (domestic cat). It matches the Rfam family "tRNA". Rfam says of the family: Transfer RNA (tRNA) molecules are approximately 80 nucleotides in length. Their secondary structure includes four short double-helical elements and three loops (D, anti-codon, and T loops). The record is from Rfam by way of RNAcentral. RNAcentral also lists the same sequence under 2 other names. Lineage: Eukaryota; Metazoa; Chordata; Mammalia; Carnivora; Felidae.
ACCUGGGUGGCUCAGUGGGUAGAGCGUGUGACUUCUGAUCUUGGGAUUGUGAGUUCAAGCCCCACAGUGGGUG